This 29-nucleotide non-coding RNA is filed under the name Mus musculus (house mouse). Lineage: Eukaryota; Metazoa; Chordata; Mammalia; Rodentia; Muridae. The record is from RNAcentral.
UAUAAGUUUGCUGCCUUGGUCACAGUGUC